Molecule: transfer RNA, 74 nt
Filed under: Allacta bimaculata
Lineage: Eukaryota; Metazoa; Arthropoda; Insecta; Blattodea; Pseudophyllodromiidae
Description: tRNA-Tyr
Source: RNAcentral
AGUGGAAUGACUGAGAUAAUUAAUAGGUGAUAAAUUGUAAAUUUAUUUAGGAGUUAAUAAAUACUCUUCUACUA